ACUCCUACGGGAGGCAGCAGUGAGGAAUAUUGGGCAAUGGGCGCAAGCCUGACCCAGCCACGCCGCGUGUGUGAUGAAGGCCUUCGGGUCGUAAAGCACUGUGGAGAGGGACGAAAGUGCACAUCAGGAAAUGGGUGUGUUUUGACGGUACCUCUUUAGCAAGCACCGGCUAACUCUGUGCCAGCAGCCGCGGUAAUACAGAGGGUGCAAACGUUGCUCGGAUUUACUGGGCGUAAAGCGCAUGUAGGCGGAUUCGCAAGUCGGGUGUGAAAUCCCUGGGCUCAACCCAGGAACUGCAUUCGAAACUGCUUAUCUAGAGUAAUGGAGAGGGUGGCGGAAUUCCCGGUGUAGAGGUGAAAUUCGUAGAUAUCGGGAGGAACAUCAGUGGCGAAGGCGGCCACCUGGACAUUUACUGACGCUGAGAUGCGAAAGCGUGGGGAGCAAACAGGAUUAUAUACCCUGGUAGGCUCU
Molecule: ribosomal RNA, 471 nt
Filed under: uncultured bacterium
Lineage: Bacteria
Description: bacterial SSU rRNA
Rfam family: Bacterial small subunit ribosomal RNA
Source: RNAcentral